GUCCACUAUAUAGUGUUAUAUGGUUGGUUCAAUGUAUUUAUGUCAACUGUAGCUCACAGUCCUGUUUAAAACAUAUAUAAACUUUAUUAAAACUAAACAAACGGUGCAUCUUGGUGAUGUAAGAGAGCAUGGUUGAAUAUGGUAUAGUUGAAUUAAGCCCUCCUUUGAGAGAAAUGCCCCACACUGGUACGGUUUACUGUAAACGAGGCUUGUUAGCAAACCGCUGGCUGUGGAGCUCACGGUGCAGUGAGCAGGGCUGCGUGGGGCUGCAUGCGUGGGCAGCCAUGACACAAAUGACUCAGCAUUUUGCUACCCAGCAGAAAAUAAAAAAAAAUCCCUUAAUAAAUUUUACUCUGAACGUACAACUUUUAGUUCAGACAAUUGAACUCUCACUUAAAAUAACCGAUUCUUUAAUAGCGCUAGUCUUAGAGUUUAGACUGGGUGUGAAAAGUGCUUACAGAACUGUGGCAGAAGCUGCCAGAGCUCCGGCAGGCACUGUGUGGGCUUCAGUAGCAGAGUCGUCGUGCAGGCUGCGCCCAAAAAGGGUGAAGAGUCAGUGUGAAGAAUGUCUGGGCAGGAAGUGUUUCAGAUUUCUGAAGACUCUGUAUGUCUUUCUAGAUUAUUUAAAGCAUAAUUAGGCAAAUUGUGAUAUAAUAAUGGUGUAAAGCUGUUGAUGAUAGUUGUAGGUGAUAGUUGUUAUAAAUGCCCGAGCAGAGUGGAAUUAAACGCUGGUUGUGUGUGGUGGUGUGUGGUUUUGUGUGUUUUCCCCUCCUUCAGUGAGUGGAGCUGUAGCGGAGGCAGUCAGUAGAUCAGCAGGCUGCUGUUGAGCUCUGUCUGUCUUGUCUGUGUUUCUACUUAAGGCUUAAUUGCUGUUGUAAAGCUGCCCAUGUUUUCAUGUCUGGCCUCUGCUUACAUUCUCCUUCUCUGUCUGUCUGUCUGUCUGUCUGUCUGUCUGUCUCUCUCUCUGUCUUUCUUUUGCCGAUCUGGCCACAGCCCUUUGCCUAACCACGCAGCCAUCAAACGCACAAACUCGGCUUUUCUCUCGCCUACAAACGACUAAAUUGGAUUAAAAGAACUAUGUGUGUGUGUGUGUGUUGGCUCAUCUUUUUUUGUUUGAUCUCUUUUGGGCCUUUUUUUGGGUGUGAUUUUC
Molecule: long non-coding RNA, 1150 nt
Filed under: Astyanax mexicanus (Mexican tetra)
Lineage: Eukaryota; Metazoa; Chordata; Actinopteri; Characiformes; Acestrorhamphidae
Description: lncRNA (ENSAMXG00005005755.1)
Source: RNAcentral